CGCGAAAGUCCCCUUCGGGGGACAAGUAGAGUGGCGCACGGGGUGAGUAACACGUAGGUAAUCUACCUUCGGAUGGGGAAUAACAAUCGGAAACGGUUGCUAAUACCGCAUAAUGCAGCGGCACCUAAUGGUGACAGUUGUUAAAGCGGGGGAUCGAAAGACCUCGCGUCUGAAGAGGAGCCUGCGGCGGAUUAGCUAGUUGGUAAGGUAAUGGCUUACCAAGGCAACGAUCCGUAACCGGCCUGAGAGGGCGGUCGGUCACACUGACACUGACACACGGGUCAGACUCCUACGGGAGGCAGCAGUCGGGAAUUUUGGGCAAUGGGCGAAAGCCUGACCCAGCAACGCCGCGUGAAGGAUGAAAUCCCUCGGGAUGUAAACUUCGCAAGAACGGGAAGAAUAAGCCGGUGUAAAUAUCACCGGUGAUGACGGUACCGUUUGUAAGCUCCGGCUAACUCCGUGCCAGCAGCCGCGGUAAUACGGGGGGAGCAAGCGUUGUCCGGAUUUACUGGGCGUAAAGGGCGCGUAGGCGGCCAGCACAAGUCAGUUGUGAAAUCUCCGAGCUUAACUCGGAAAGGUCAACUGAUACUGUGCGGCUAGAGUGCGGAAGGGGCAACUGGAAUUCUUGGUGUAGCGGUGAAAUGCGUAGAUAUCAAGAGGAACACCUGCGGCGAAGGCGGGUUGCUGGG
RNAcentral lists this ribosomal RNA (689 nucleotides) under uncultured soil bacterium. Its description in RNAcentral is "bacterial SSU rRNA". It matches the Rfam family "Bacterial small subunit ribosomal RNA", at positions 65 to 733 of the family's 1533-position model. The record is from RNAcentral.